Molecule: non-coding RNA, 98 nt
Organism: Acanthosepion pharaonis
Lineage: Eukaryota; Metazoa; Mollusca; Cephalopoda; Sepiida; Sepiidae
Source: the annotation of a GenBank genome assembly
GCUAAAACACCAGUUCUAGUAUGAUCACUGAAGUUAAGCAACAUCGAGCCUGGUCAGUACCUAGACAGGUGACCACUUGGGAAUAUCAGGUGCUGUAA